This 553-nucleotide long non-coding RNA is filed under the name Brassica napus (rape). RNAcentral's name for it is "long non-coding RNA (BNAP_LNC018505)". Lineage: Eukaryota; Viridiplantae; Streptophyta; Magnoliopsida; Brassicales; Brassicaceae. The record is from RNAcentral.
CAUAAUCUUUUUAUCUAGAUCCACUCCGAGCCGGGUCAGAUGGUACGUGUUGACCCGUUUACCCGUAAGGAAUAAAUGGUCACAAAAGUCAACAAAAAGAUUGGCGGUAUGAGGAAGGGGUUUCAACUGUAGAUUCACAAAAAGCGUUGACGAACCACAAAAUAACACGGUGACAGUCACUAUCUUAUGCCUCCACACUUCCACUUGCUUGGACAUGAUGUGACAUACGUGGUGCCACGCUUUGCACACCUCAUCUCCACUUCCACCAUCGCCAUUUUACUGUGACACGUGUUCUCAUCUCCUUGGUUUGCCUCUGAAUCUUUUUCAUCUCCGCAGACAUUUUUUCCGCCUGUAAUUAGGAAAAGUUGAAAGUAAACGUAUAAAUUGAUAAGAGUUUUGAGAGAAGUAAACAUCAGUUUGGAUAAACUCAACAAAACACUCACUCGUCGUAUCUGUAUAAAUACAUACCACGGACACGACACGAACCUGGUAGCACAAAGAUUAUUAAGAUUACUUCCUAAAAAAAAUAAAAACAAAGCUUUGACAAAAGAUA